GUAGGUGACAAGCGUUGUCCGGAUUUACUGGGCGUAAAGAGCGCGCAGGCGGUCGACCAAGUCGAGUGUGAAAGCCCCCGGCUCAACUGGGGAGGGUCAUUCGAUACUGAUCGACUCGAAGGCAGGAGAGGGUAGUGGAAUUCCCGGUGUAGUGGUGAAAUUCGUAGAUAUUGGGGGGAACACCCGUGGCGAAAGCGGCUUUCUGGCACGAUACUGACGCUGAGGCUCGAAAGCGUGGGGAGCAAACAGGAUUAGAUACCCUGGUAGUCCACGCUGUAAACGUUGUGCACUAGGUGUGGGAGGUAUCGACCCCUUCCGUGCCGCAGCUAACGCACUAAGUGCACCGCCUGGGGAGUACGGUCGCAAGACUG
Molecule: ribosomal RNA, 371 nt
Filed under: uncultured bacterium
Lineage: Bacteria
Description: bacterial SSU rRNA
Rfam family: Bacterial small subunit ribosomal RNA
Source: RNAcentral